This 75-nucleotide transfer RNA is filed under the name Rhodospirillaceae bacterium. Its description in RNAcentral is "tRNA-Gly". It matches the Rfam family "tRNA". From Rfam's summary of the family: Transfer RNA (tRNA) molecules are approximately 80 nucleotides in length. Their secondary structure includes four short double-helical elements and three loops (D, anti-codon, and T loops). RNAcentral also lists the same sequence under 2 other names. Lineage: Bacteria; Pseudomonadati; Pseudomonadota; Alphaproteobacteria; Rhodospirillales; Rhodospirillaceae. The record is from RNAcentral.
GCGAGUGUAGCUCAGGGGUAGAGCAUUACCUUGCCAAGGUAAGGGCCGAGGGUUCGAAUCCCUUCACUCGCUCCA